GCUACAAUUCCCAGCUCGUGACCCCUUGCUUCUUCUUCCCCCAUUUCUCCCACAUUUCUCCCAAAAUCAAAACUCCGUCUCCGUGUUGAAUCAGCCGACUUUUUUAUUUCGUCUCCUCCGUCUAGUUCCCCAUCUCCGCCCACCACGAAAGCAGAAUCGCCGCCGACGAAAACCGAUCUUCCUUCGAGCUCGAGCGCUACAACGAGAUCCCCAUUUCUCCUCCUCCAUCAAGCCACCUCCUUCCCCCAACUCAGGUUCAGCGUCCUCUCCCCCAAAUUCGGCUACAAGUCUCCGCGGACGAGCUCGUGGUCGAAGGUUGAAUAUCUACAUCAGGGGUCUUUUGGGAGAGUGUACACUUUUGAGCUGUGGCAUAAUCGAGUAAAAAUAAAGGAGUAAUUCCUGAGAAUAAGUUCUCCUUUGUGUGGUAAUUGUGUUGAAGACCAGAACAUGUUGCCUUCCUGAUUGUAAAUUAUAAGGAGUGCUUUCUCAUAAUAAAUUAUGAAAAUUUAUAUUAGCACGGCA
Molecule: long non-coding RNA, 522 nt
Organism: Asparagus officinalis (garden asparagus)
Lineage: Eukaryota; Viridiplantae; Streptophyta; Magnoliopsida; Asparagales; Asparagaceae
Exons: 3
Source: RefSeq, a predicted model, not a curated record